GGUCAUGAAAGAUCUUGUUGGAAGCACCCGCCUGAGAUCAACACUUAGUGACAUUCCUACAACUGCCUUUUGUUUGGAACAAAGCCUGUUAGCCGUAUGGGGAGUGUUUGCUGGUAGUGGAACAACAUAAGUAUGUGAUUAGACCCCUCGAGUCUAAAGUGCUGUUCCAGACACAGAUGAGUUUACAAGUGUGUUUUAUAUUUCUGUUCUUAUUUUCUGAGGGAUAUAGAGAAAGAAAAAAAUCAAAAUUUGGCAUAAAUACAUUCAAGAAAGUGCAAGGAUAAGGUGCAAUCUUUGCACUCAAGAAACUGACAGUCGUUGUAGCGAGAGAUACACAUGCCCACAUGCAGGAUUUCAUUGCAGUAUGAAAUGUUGAUGAAAGAAGAACAGAAGCAGUGGUUACCUCGAUGGGGUCAGUGCAGUCUUUGUCUCGAGGAAAUGACACUUAGGGUGAGACAGGAAGAGGAUGAAUUAGAUACCACCAGGCAGACGGGGAAUUUUAGGAAGAGGGAAUAGCAUGUAUGGAGGUAAAAAGGGACAUGAUUUGUUCCGGAACCUGGGAGGAAUUUGUUAUGGCUGAGCGUUAAGUGGGGGAAGGACUGGUUGGAGAGAUGGGAUGCUCCUGCAGGGCCUGGUUUCUCAUGCUGAGACCGUGGGGAAGGAACUAUUAAAGGAUUUUAAUUGGGAACAUGAAAUCGUAGGAUCUGUGCUUCAAAAUGGCAAUAAAGAUAGAUAGUAGGGGAGUUGAAUUAGUAAGGACUCUCUUUGGGUGCAAAUAAAAACUUUUGGUGAAGAUAUGGGGAUAUACCAUAGACGUCAAGGGCAAGAGUGCAGGCAUGUCUUAACAGUGCAGUUAGAACUAGGAAUAGAAAGCUGUCACGAAUCCCUAUGUCUUUUCUCUCCUCUCUGUUUCCCACCCAGCCCCUGUGUGUUUUCUCUAUUCUUCUCUCUUUACCAACUUCUUCUGCUGCUCAAUUUAUGUGAUAAAAGAUGGUUCUGCCACUGUUUCUGUAUUUCCUCCAUUUAAAAGACCAGGCUAGACUGGGUUCAAAUUCCCCAGGUUCAGAUUCCUAGGAGAGACAUGGCUGCCAGGGCUGCACCACUAUGACUUUUAGAUCAGAGUGGGCAUUUCCGAGGAAGGGGACUCUUCGCUGAGCAGACACUGUAAAUGCCUUCUAUGACAAGGCGAGGGUAGGGACGUGGGAAGAAGCAGAGCUACUCCCCAAGUUCUGUCUUGAUUGGGUGCUGGUGCUGUGCUCUGAAUUCGUAUUUAGGAAUGUUGGUUUUGAAGUGUCUGGAACACCCAGAGGGAGAUAUCUAAUAGGCAGUUAUUAUGUUUGUCCUCUGAGCUUGGGGAGAGGUUGAGGGUUAAGGUAUAUUGAUUGGGGAUACAGUGUGGAAAUGAAAAUGAUGACUCAGUGGAUAUUAUAGAAAGAGGAGAGAAAAGGACCAUGGAUGAGAUAGGAGAGUAUCAGCUUCUCUUGGCAGGAGAGAAAGAAGGGUUUGUAGAGGAUCCAAAAGGAAGAACCAGAAGAGCCAAAAUAUCACAAACUAAGAGGAGCGUUUAAGAAGUGAGGAGUGGGCAACAGUGUUGUAUGCAGAACAAUAAGAUACACAUUGGAGUGACCUCUAGUGUUGGCCGUAACUGAGAGCAGUGAGAGGAGUGAUAAAAGUGGAGGAUGGCCCUGGCCCGUUUGGUAAGAGCCUACAGCAAAAGAAAAGUUAUAAAGAGUGGAUGUGAUGGAUGGAGCGAGAUUUGCAAGUGGGCAGGAAAAAAAGGAAUCAAGAGUCUAGGUAGGGCCCUGGCCGAUGUGGCUCAGUUGGUUGAGCGUUCCCAUGCACCAAAGAAUCGCUGGUUCAGUACCCAGUCAGGGCACAUAUCCAGGUUGUGGGUUUGCUCACUAGUCGGGAUGUAUGUAGGGAGGCAAACGAUUGAUACUUCUCACAUUGAUGUGUGUCUCUCUCUCUCUCCCCCUCUCCCUCUCUCUUCCCUUCCCCUCUCCCCCUCUCCUCCUCAUCCCCUCUCCUCCCCCUUGCUCCCUUCCUUCUUCUCUCCCACCCUCCCUCUCUCCCUUCCUCUGUCUCUCUCAAAUUAAUAAAAAACAUAAAAGAGUCCAGAUAGGAUGAGUGGGUGAACAAAGAAUGGCAUGUUCAUGGAGCAUUAUUCAGCCAUAAAAAGGAUGCUAGCCCUGACCGGUUUGGCUCAGUGGAUAGAGCGUCGGCCUGCGGACUGAAGGGUCCCAGGUUCGAUUCUGGUCAAGGGCAUGUACCUUGGUUGUGGGCACAUCCCCAGUAGGGAGUGUGCAGGAGGCAGCUGAUCGAUGUUUCUCUCUCAUCGAUGUUUCUAACUCUCUAUCCCUCUCUCUUCCUCUCUGUAAAAAAAUCAAUAAAAAAUAAAAAAAGCAAUCACUCUCAAAAUUAAUUUUAAAA
Molecule: long non-coding RNA, 2430 nt
Organism: Myotis daubentonii (Daubenton's bat)
Lineage: Eukaryota; Metazoa; Chordata; Mammalia; Chiroptera; Vespertilionidae
Source: RefSeq, a predicted model, not a curated record